RNAcentral lists this ribosomal RNA (465 nucleotides) under uncultured bacterium. RNAcentral describes it as "partial 16S ribosomal RNA". It matches the Rfam family "Bacterial small subunit ribosomal RNA", at positions 28 to 507 of the family's 1533-position model. The record is from RNAcentral.
GACGAACGCUGGCGGCGUGCUUAACACAUGCAAGUCGAACGGAAAGGCCCUGCUUGCCGGGUACUCGAGUGGCGAACGGGUGAGUAACACGUGGGUGAUCUGCCCCGCACUUCGGGAUAAGCCUGGGAAACUGGGUCUAAUACCGGAUAGGAGCCAUUUUUAGUGUGAUGGUUGGAAAGUUUUUUCGGUGUAGGAUGAGCUCGCUGCCUAUCAGCUUGUUGGUGGGGUAAUGGCCUACCAAGGCGGCGACGGGUAGCCGGCCUGAGAGGGUGGACGGCCACAUUGGGACUGAGAUAAGGCCCAGACUCCUACGGGAGGCAGCAGUGGGGAAUAUUGCACAAUGGGCGCAAGCCUGAUGCAGCGACGCCGCGUGGGGGAUGACGGCCUUCGGGUUGUAAACUCAUUUCGCUAGGGACGAAGCUUUUUGUGACGGUACCUAGAGAAGAAGCACCGGCUAACUACGUG